This 519-nucleotide long non-coding RNA is filed under the name Mytilus galloprovincialis (Mediterranean mussel). Lineage: Eukaryota; Metazoa; Mollusca; Bivalvia; Mytilida; Mytilidae. The record is from RNAcentral.
GGUCAUAUUAACCUAUUUGUAGAUCUUACUUUGCUGAUCAUUUUUGCUGUUUACAGUUUAUCUUUAUCUAUAAUGAUAUUCAAGAUAAUGACCAAAAACUGCAAAAUUUCCUUAAAAUUACCAAUUAAGUGGCAGCAACCCAACAAUGGUUUGUUUGAUUCAUCUGAAAAUUUCAGGGCUGAUAGAUCUUGACCUAAUGAACAUUUUUACCCCAUGUCAGAUUUGCUCUAAAUGCUUUCGUUUUUGAGAUAUAAGCCAAAAACUGCAUUUAACCCCUAUGUUCUAUUUAAAGUAAGGGCGGCCAUGUUUUUUGACGGAUCAAAAAUCGAAGCACACACUUUGUGCAGGAUAAUCUAAGGAACUAUCAUGCUAAGUUUCAUCCAAAUCCAUUCAGUAGUUUCAGAGGAGAAGAUUUUUUAAAGUUAGCAAAUAUGAUGAACAAAUUGUGAAAAAUUGUCAUUAAAGGACAUUUACCCCUUAAGGGGUCAAUUGACAAUUUUGGUCAUAUUAACCUAUUUG